Molecule: non-coding RNA, 249 nt
Filed under: Desulforamulus ferrireducens
Lineage: Bacteria; Bacillati; Bacillota; Clostridia; Eubacteriales; Peptococcaceae
Description: Desulfotomaculum ferrireducens T-box sequence
Rfam family: T-box leader
About the family: Uncharged tRNA acts as the effector for transcription antitermination of genes in the T-box leader family.
Source: RNAcentral
AUAAAAGCGAUAAUGGGGAUGAGUAAAUCGGCGUACCCUCACAGAGAGCGGGAGUAGGUGUAAACCCGUAGGGAAGGACGGUUGAACAUGGCCCCGGAGCUGCCGGUUCGAAAGAUCAUCAGGAUCCAUUAGGGCCGGCCGGUGUAGCACCGUUACCGCUGUCAGUGUUUUUACACACUUACUGAGGCUGCUGCCGUGAGGUUACAGCAAAUCAGGGUGGUACCGCGGGUUAUUAACCUCGUCCCUGCC